This 485-nucleotide ribosomal RNA is filed under the name uncultured bacterium. RNAcentral describes it as "bacterial SSU rRNA". It matches the Rfam family "Bacterial small subunit ribosomal RNA", at positions 327 to 804 of the family's 1533-position model. The record is from RNAcentral.
CGCCUUAUACUCCUACGGGAGGCAGCAGUGGGGAAUAUUGGACAAUGGGCGAAAGCCUGAUCCAGCCAUGCCGCGUGUGUGAAGAAGGUCUUCGGAUUGUAAAGCACUUUAAGUUGGGAGGAAGGGCCAUUACCUAAUACGUGAUGGUUUUGACGUUACCGACAGAAUAAGCACCGGCUAACUCUGUGCCGGCAGCCGCGGUAAUACAGAGGGUGCAAGCGUUAAUCGGAAUUACUGGGCGUAAAGCGCGCGUAGGUGGUUUGUUAAGUUGGAUGUGAAAUCCCCGGGCUCAACCUGGGAACUGCAUUCAAAACUGACUGACUAGAGUAUGGUAGAGGGUGGUGGAAUUUCCUGUGUAGCGGUGAAAUGCGUAGAUAUAGGAAGGAACACCAGUGGCGAAGGCGACCACCUGGACUGAUACUGACACUGAGGUGCGAAAGCGUGGGGAGCAAACAGGAUUAGAUACCCUUGUAGUCCACGUACCA